RNAcentral lists this ribosomal RNA (642 nucleotides) under Enterococcaceae bacterium RF39. RNAcentral describes it as "bacterial SSU rRNA". It matches the Rfam family "Bacterial small subunit ribosomal RNA", at positions 62 to 676 of the family's 1533-position model. The record is from RNAcentral. Lineage: Bacteria; Bacillati; Bacillota; Bacilli; Lactobacillales; Enterococcaceae.
UCGAACGCUUCUUUUCACCGAGUGCUUGCACUCACUUGAAAAGAAGAGUGGCGGACGGGUGAGUAACACGUGGGUAACCUGCCCAUCAGAGGGGGAUAACACUUGGAAACAGGUGCUAAUACCGCAUAAUAGUCGACACCGCAUGGUGUUGAUUUGAAAGACGCUUUCGGGUGUCACUGAUGGAUGGACCCGCGGUGCAUUAGCUAGUUGGUGAGGUAACGGCUCACCAAGGCCAUGAUGCAUAGCCGACCUGAGAGGGUGAUCGGCCACACUGGGACUGAGACACGGCCCAGACUCCUACGGGAGGCAGCAGUAGGGAAUCUUCGGCAAUGGACGAAAGUCUGACCGAGCAACGCCGCGUGAGUGAAGAAGGUUUUCGGAUCGUAAAACUCUGUUGUUAGAGAAGAACAAGUGGGAGAGUAACUGCUCCCGCCUUGACGGUAUCUAACCAGAAAGCCACGGCUAACUACGUGCCAGCAGCCGCGGUAAUACGUAGGUGGCAAGCGUUGUCCGGAUUUAUUGGGCGUAAAGCGAGCGCAGGCGGUUUCUUAAGUCUGAUGUGAAAGCCCCCGGCUCAACCGGGGAGGGUCAUUGGAAACUGGGAGACUUGAGUGCAGAAGAGGAGAGUGGAAUUCCAUGUGU